Molecule: ribosomal RNA, 301 nt
Filed under: uncultured bacterium
Lineage: Bacteria
Description: partial 16S ribosomal RNA
Rfam family: Bacterial small subunit ribosomal RNA
Source: RNAcentral
CAGUCGCCGCGGUAAAACGUAGGUGGCAAGCGUUGUCCGAAAUUAUUGGGCGUAAAGGGCUCGCAGGCGGUUUCUUAAGUCUGAUGCGAAAGCCCCCGGCUCAACCGGGGAGGGUCAUUGGAAACUGGGAAACUUGAGUGCAGAAGAGGAGAGUGGAAUUCCACGUGUAGCGGUGAAAUGCGUAGAGAUGUGGAGGAACACCAGUGGCGAAGGCGACUCUCUGGUCUGUAACAGACGCUGAGGAGCGAAAGCGUGGGGAGCGAACAGGAUUAGAUACCCCGUAGUCCCUGUCUCUUAUACA